GGAAAGUCCUUGUGUUGCAUCCCU
This 24-nucleotide non-coding RNA is filed under the name Arabidopsis thaliana (thale cress). The record is from RNAcentral. Lineage: Eukaryota; Viridiplantae; Streptophyta; Magnoliopsida; Brassicales; Brassicaceae.